GUCAGGAUGGCGGAGCGGUCUAAGGCGCUGCGUUCAGGUCGCAGUCUCCAAUGGAGGUGUGGGUUCAAAUCCCACUUCUGACA
This 83-nucleotide transfer RNA is filed under the name Danionella translucida. It matches the Rfam family "tRNA". Rfam says of the family: Transfer RNA (tRNA) molecules are approximately 80 nucleotides in length. Their secondary structure includes four short double-helical elements and three loops (D, anti-codon, and T loops). The record is from Rfam by way of RNAcentral. Lineage: Eukaryota; Metazoa; Chordata; Actinopteri; Cypriniformes; Danionidae. RNAcentral also lists the same sequence under 1 other name.